Molecule: long non-coding RNA, 500 nt
Filed under: Mytilus galloprovincialis (Mediterranean mussel)
Lineage: Eukaryota; Metazoa; Mollusca; Bivalvia; Mytilida; Mytilidae
Source: RNAcentral
GCUUUAUACGACCGCAGAGGUUGAACCCUGAACGGUUGGGGCAAGUAUGGACACAACAUUCAAGCUGGAUUCAGCUCUAAAUUUGGAUUGUGAUUAAAUAGUUGACACAGCAUAGGUUUCUGACACAGAAUGAAUGUGGUCUAAUGAACUUAAAAUACUUUUUUUUCCUUUGAGCAAUUCACUAUGCUGUUGAAUAUCAAUCCUCUCAAAAAAAUGUUUGAAGAAAUUUUCUUUUUAUUUAUGAAAUCUGAAAUGAAAAAAGUUUAACCCCCCCCCCCCAUUUUUUUUCUCACAUCCCCCUUUCCCUUUGUUAUCACUGAAUAGUAAAGAUUGUUUUAAUUUAUCAGUUGGUAGUAAAAGUGAAUAUACAUUGUGUAUUGUAUAAAACAAUGAUUUAAGUUGAUUCAACUACUAUUCUGGACAAAGAAAGAUAACUCCAAUCAAUUGAAAAUUUCUUGCUAUUGCACAAUAUUGUGCAAUUAGAUAUUUCUUGCUAUUGC